GGUGGCUGCAGUAUCGAUCUUUAACCCCGCCCCCUCCAUGUUAGUGGAUGAGACUUCUGAUUGGUCUUGUAUCUGCAACUGCUGAUCUUUGUAAUCGCAGCUCCACUCCAAAGACUCUGGCUCUAAAUAAAGUCAAAAGUAGGGUCUGUAUGUGAGAGCCGAAAGUCCACAAAUGUUGCAAUUUCCGGUGUGUUCAAAUGUUUACUUUUACAAGUACAUAUUUUUGUAAUUAGAACAUUUGGAUAGAUAAUGUAUUAUGAUCAGGGUCAAUUUGACCUCAGGAAUAACACACUUUUUUUUUAGUUGCAUUUCAGGGUUUU
This is a long non-coding RNA of Scophthalmus maximus (turbot), 320 nucleotides long. RefSeq lists it as uncharacterized. The record is from RefSeq and is a predicted model, not a curated record. NCBI's taxonomy places the organism in Eukaryota, Metazoa, Chordata, Actinopteri, Pleuronectiformes, Scophthalmidae. The transcript has 2 exons.